Scomber japonicus (chub mackerel) is the source of this 130-nucleotide small nucleolar RNA. RefSeq annotates it as small nucleolar RNA SNORA44. The transcript has a single exon. NCBI's taxonomy places the organism in Eukaryota, Metazoa, Chordata, Actinopteri, Scombriformes, Scombridae. The record is from RefSeq and is a predicted model, not a curated record.
CAGCAUGCUAUCCUAAGGACCGGAGCUUAUUCGUAGCUCUAGGUUCUCCAAGUGCAUGCAAGAUAAUGGGGUAGUCUUUGACUGCUGUGGCCCUCUCUGCCAUCAGCGGUCACUCGCCUAUCCUACAGUG